This 458-nucleotide ribosomal RNA is filed under the name uncultured bacterium. RNAcentral's name for it is "partial 16S ribosomal RNA". It matches the Rfam family "Bacterial small subunit ribosomal RNA", at positions 339 to 795 of the family's 1533-position model. The record is from RNAcentral.
CUACGGGUGGCUGCAGUGAGGAAUAUUUGUCAAUGGGCGCGAGCCUGAACCAGCCAAGUCGCGUGAGGGAAGACGGUCCUAUGGAUUGUAAACCUCUUUUGUCGGGGAGCAAAAGCCUCCCCCCGUUGCGUUCCUAUAGUACCCGUAUAAAAAGCAUCGGCUCACUCCGUGCCAGCAGCCGCGGUAAUACGGAGGAUGCGAGCGUUAUCCGGAUUUUUUGGGUUUUAAGGGUGCGCAGGCGGAAGAUAAAGUCAGCGGUAAAAUUGAGAGGAUAAACCUCUGCGAGCCGUUGAAACUGGUUGUCUUGAGUGAGUGAGAAGUAUGCGGAAUGCGUGGUGUAGCGGUGAAAUGCAUAGAUAUCACGCAGAACUCCGAUUGCGAAGGCAGCAUACCGGCGCUCAACUGACGCUCAUGCACGAAAGUGUGGGUAUCGAACAGGAUUAGAUACCCUAGUAGUC